This is a non-coding RNA of Lophiostoma macrostomum CBS 122681, 109 nucleotides long. The record is from the annotation of a GenBank genome assembly. NCBI's taxonomy places the organism in Eukaryota, Fungi, Ascomycota, Dothideomycetes, Pleosporales, Lophiostomataceae.
GGACAGGUAGCUUAGUGGUAAAGCAGUCCGUGAGGCCAUUGCAACAUACAAUGCAUGUAUGUUGCAAUGGCCUCACGGACUGACCUAGGUUCGAUUCCUAGCCUGUCUA